GGCGAACGGGUGAGUAGCGCAUCGGAACGUGCCCAGUUAGUGGGGGAUAGCUCGGCGAAAGCNGGAUUAAUACCGCAUACGACCCACGGGUGAAAGCGGGGGACCGCAAGGCCUCGCGCUAUUGGAGCGGCCGAUGCCCGAUUAGCUAGUUGGUGAGGUAAAGGCUUACCAAGGCGACGAUCGGUAGCUGGUCUGAGAGGACGACCAGCCACACUGGGACUGAGACACGGCCCAGACUCCUACGGGAGGCAGCAGUGGGGAAUUUUGGACAAUGGGGGAAACCCUGAUCCAGCCAUGCCGCGUGCGGGAAGAAGGCCUUCGGGUUGUAAACCGCUUUUGGCAGGAACGAAACGGCGCGCGCUAAUACCGCGCGCUAAUGACGGUACCUGCANAAUAAGCACCGGCUAACUACGUGCCAGCAGCCGCGGUAAUACGUAG
RNAcentral lists this ribosomal RNA (438 nucleotides) under uncultured incertae sedis 5 bacterium. RNAcentral describes it as "bacterial SSU rRNA". It matches the Rfam family "Bacterial small subunit ribosomal RNA", at positions 97 to 530 of the family's 1533-position model. The record is from RNAcentral.